UACGUAGGUGGCAAGCGUUAUCCGGAAUUAUUGGGCGUAAAGAGCGCGCAGGUGGUUGAUUAAGUCUGAUGUGAAAGCCCGGGGCUCAACCGCGGGACUGCAUCGGAUACUGUGGAUCUGGAGUGCCGGAGGGGCAAGCGGAAUUCCUGGUGUAGCGGUGAAAUGCGUAGAUAUCAGGAGGAACACCGGCGGCGAAGGCGGCUUGCUGGACGGCAACUGACGUUGAGGCUCGAAAGCGUGGGGAGCAAACAGGAUUAGAUA
Molecule: ribosomal RNA, 261 nt
Filed under: uncultured prokaryote
Description: partial 16S ribosomal RNA
Rfam family: Bacterial small subunit ribosomal RNA
Source: RNAcentral